GACGAACGCUGGCGGCGUGCUUAACACAUGCAAGUCGAACGGAAAGGCCCUGCUUUUGUGGGGUGCUCGAGUGGCGAACGGGUGAGUAACACGUGAGUAACCUGCCCUUGACUUUGGGAUAACUUCAGGAAACUGGGGCUAAUACCGGAUAGGAGCUCCUGCUGCAUGGUGGGGGUUGGAAAGUUUCGGCGGUUGGGGAUGGACUCGCGGCUUAUCAGCUUGUUGGUGGGGUAGUGGCUUACCAAGGCUUUGACGGGUAGCCGGCCUGAGAGGGUGACCGGCCACAUUGGGACUGAGAUACGGCCCAGACUCCUACAGGAGGCAGCAGUGGGGAAUAUUGCACAAUGGGCGGAAGCCUGAUGCAGCAACGCCGCGUGCGGGAUGACGGCCUUCGGGUUGUAAACCGCUUUCGCCUGUGACGAAGCGUGAGUGACGGUAAUGUGUAAAGAAGCACCGGCUAACUACGUG
This 468-nucleotide ribosomal RNA is filed under the name uncultured bacterium. RNAcentral's name for it is "partial 16S ribosomal RNA". It matches the Rfam family "Bacterial small subunit ribosomal RNA", at positions 28 to 507 of the family's 1533-position model. The record is from RNAcentral.